AGAGACAGCAGCCGCCGCGGGAAUACGGAGGGUGCGAGCGUUAAUCGGAAUUACUGGGCGUAAAGCGUACGCAGGCGGUUUGUUAAGUCAGAUGUGAAAUCCCCGAGCUUAACUCGGGAACUGCAUUUGAAACUGGCAGGCUAGAGUCUCGUAGAGGGGGGUAGAAUUCCAGGUGUAGCGGUGAAAUGCGUAGAGAUCUGGAGGAAUACCGGUGGCGAAGGCGGCCCCCUGGACGAAGACUGACGCUCAGGUACGAAAGCGUGGGGAGCAAACAGGAUUAGAUACCCCUGUAGUCCCUGUCUCUUAUAC
This 309-nucleotide ribosomal RNA is filed under the name uncultured bacterium. RNAcentral's name for it is "partial 16S ribosomal RNA". It matches the Rfam family "Bacterial small subunit ribosomal RNA", at positions 504 to 807 of the family's 1533-position model. The record is from RNAcentral.